RNAcentral lists this long non-coding RNA (3695 nucleotides) under Canis lupus familiaris (dog). Its description in RNAcentral is "lncRNA (ENSCAFG00000057627.1)". Lineage: Eukaryota; Metazoa; Chordata; Mammalia; Carnivora; Canidae. The record is from RNAcentral.
GGGGCAGAAGGAGAGGGAGAAGCAGGCUCCCCACUGAGGAAAGAGCCCAGUGCGAAGGCAGACACUUAACUAACUGAGCCACCCAGGAACCUCUGUCGUUCUGUUUCUUAUGGCAGUGUUGCUCUUAUGGCAUGAGUCACUUUCCUUGCACUUGGCUGUUUUGGGUCGAAUUUCUUAAAUCUGUAGCCUGUUAUUUCAUGUAGGUAACUUGUUACUGAGAAUAUAACUUUAUACUAAUCAGAUUAUUUGUUUAAUAAUUAUUUUAAAAUAUUUAAAAAUUGCUAUUGGAAAACAGAUUGAGACAGCAUAUAAAUCUAAAUUUCCAAGAAUCACAUUAAUUUUUUUUAUUGUGGUAAAAACCCUUAAACAUGAGAGCUACCCCCUUAACAAAUUUUUAGGUGCACGGUGUUGUACAGCAGUUUUCUAGAACUUCUUCAUCUUCUAUAAGUGAUGUGGUCCUUGCUUGAGUGUAGAGGAGAGAAUAAGGACAAUGACAUGAUUUUGAGAGGAAUGAUCUACUCUUUUUUGGAUCAAAGCUAAGAGAGAGAGAGAGAGAGAGCAAGAGCAAGCACACAGCAAGAAGAGAUGUUGGCAUCUUUAGAAUAAUGCCUGUUUUAAAUACAGUAUAAUGGGUAAUUCUGAGGAAUUUUUAUAAAUUUUUAUUUGCUCCACUUUAUAUGUAGCAAGUGAACAUUUUUUGCUAUUUAGUAUAAUUUAUUUAUCUUCAUAGGUAUAAAAAUAAGUUGGAACACAUUGCUUGGUGUUUACAGCCUAACAAAAAUGGGUGACUUGCAUAAACUGAUAAACAUAAUGUAUGAUAAAAUGUAAAAUGUAUCAUGAGAAAAGUAAGGGUAGAUUUGGGCAAGAGAGGACAUAUGGUAGAGAUAUCGUGAUUUUCAGGAGCUACAAAAGCUACUACUUUAUGAAUGCUUACUAUGUGUGAAGAGUUCUAAAAGGUUGAUACAUUUAAUGUGCACCCCUAUCCUUCAGUAGAUAUUAAUGUUAUUCUUGUUAUUCAUAUGGAAUAUAUUAUGAGUCUAUGUUUGGGUGAAGGGAAGGAAGAGAUGGAAAUAGGAUGGAAGAAAUAAUGGUAUUUUCCCCUCCUCAGUCUCCUACAGAGGGUCUAAUUUUAUAUAACAAGAAUGUUUCAUAAAGUCUGUCUGAAGAUAGGAAUUUGGCAAAACAGAGCUCUGGAAACCUUUUUUACGUUGACCUUUGUCCAAGGUGGCCUCAGUAAUAAGCAACUCAAAGGAUCACAACAAAUGUAUGAUGUCUUCCCUCAUGCUGAAGGGACCACAUUUCUGGAAUCGCUUUGAACACAGCAUCCCUCUGCCUGGCAGUUAAUACCCACCUUUUGUUGUUUCUGUUGCUGGGAAGAUCAUCUUGGCUCCGAAGUGUUUAAUAUACCUGAGAAAUAUCAAAGUCAGACUGUUUAUUCAUAAUCAAAAUAACAACACGUCAAUUUCACUAUGCAUAACAUAAGUUUGAGCUAGAAGUUUUGAUGUCUUUACUGAAUUCCUUUGAUCCUAAAAUUCCAACCAAAAACUGUAUGCUCUUAGGUACAGAGCAGAAUAGUACACUUGGGGACAUUAGUUCUUGAAAAUUUUGUUUCUGAAGGGCAAGCUUUUUGGAAGACUAAAUCUUAGUAUCUUUGCUCUCCUUUCAAGAUGGGCAGAUUCAAAGCAUCACACCUUCAAGAAUUUCUAUUGUAUCCCCGUCUUAUGUGCAAAUCCCUCAGCUUCAGGCCUAAUAUAAGAAUCGCAAAGGGGAUAUUAUUGGACAAGGAAGUGGAAGUCAAGAACCUGAUUCUGCUGGUGGUGAUGAGUUGCAAUGGGAGUUAUUAAAAAGUUACCAAGAUAUGCAUAUGCAUACACACACAGAGAUGGGCACAUUUUGAUUAGGGCCCAAAUUAUUUAGAAGUGGUAGUAGAAAUUUAUCCCUUUAUCCACAGCUGAAUCAGAACACUGUUAAAACAUGCCAAAUGCAGUACCCAAGAGAGUACCAGGGGCCAAUUUUCAUUACUUGCAAGGCUCAGAGGACAUUAUAUACAAGCGAGUUUCAAUUAAAUUGCCAGAAAAACUACAAGAGAACUGGACCUAAAAUUCUUUGCUACCAGUUCAAUUUCUAAUUAUACACAGGAUGAUCAUAGUCUCAUGAUAUUGCUGUAUGUUUCUACGUGUAGAGAACCAUGACGUAGGUGGUGUUUGGGGGAGUGCACAUUCUUCCUGUUUUCCUACACUCUGCACAUAUGGUAUCUUUUGAUUUGGUUACAACUAGAUGAGUAUGUGAGUAAAGCUCUCUACACAACGACAGUAGUUACUUAAGAUUAACUCAAUUUAUUAAAUGGCUUGACUUUAUAUAGAAUGCACUUCAACUGUUUCUAGAACAAUGAUGGGUUUGGAUUUACCUGCCUUUCCAUUUUGUUUUUGUUUUAUUAUAUUAAACUAAUCUACAAAGAUAAAUACUGCAUGAGACAAGUUGUAUAUUUGAGAUAGGCAAUCCCCCCACCUGUUUUAUUGAGAUGUAAUGACAUAUCAUUGUGUAUGUUUAGGGUUUAUGAUAUGUUGACUUGAUACAUUUAUAUAUUGCAAAAUUAUUAUUGUGGUAUUAACAUUUCUAUCACCUUAUAUAAUUACUAAUUCUAUUUUGUGGUGAGAUCAGUUAAAAUCUACUCUCGUAACAACUUUCAAGAUGUAGUAUUGAUAACUAUAACCACCAUGCUGUACAUUAGGUUCCCAAAAGUUUUUCAUCCUGUAAAUGGAAGAAGUUUGUACCCUUUAGCAUUUCUCCAUUUCUCCCAUCCCCCAGUACCUGGAAACCACCAUUUUGCUCUCUAUGAGUACAGAUUCCUCAUAUAAAUGAGAUAUAGUAUUUCGUUCUCUGUCUGAUUUAUUUCACUUAGCUUAGUGCUCUCAAGAUCCAUCCAUGUUAUCACAAAUGGCAAGAUAUCCUUCUUUAAUAUGGCUGAAAUAUUCCAGCGUGUGUGUAUGUGUGUUUGCUUAUAUAUACAUAUAUUUAAUCACUUAUCUAUCCAUUGAUGGCACUUAGAUUGUUUCCUUGUGUUGGAUAGUGUAAAAAAUGCUGCGAUAAACAUGGGUGUGCUGAUAUUUCUUUGAGAUCUUGAUUUUAUUUCCUUUGGAUCUGUACCCAGAGAUGGGGUUGAUGGAUCACAUGGUAGUUCUAUCUUUAAUGUUUUGAGGAAUCUCUAUACUGUUUUCCAGAGUGGCUGAUUGAAUUUAUAUUUUCACCAACAGUGCACAAGGCUUUCUCUUUCUUCACAUCCUUGUCAACAUUUAUCUCUGUCUUUUUGAUGAUAGCUAUCCUAACAGGUGUUGAGUGAUGUCUCAUUGUGGUUUUGAUUUGCAUUUCUCUGAUGCUUAUUAAUGUUGAGCACUUUCCAUGUACUUGUUGACCAUCUGUAUGUCUUGUUUGGAAAAAUAUCUUCAGUUCCUCUGUCAUUUUUAAAUCAGAUUGAUUGUUUUCUUUCUUUUUUGCUGUUGAAUUGUAUGAAUUCUUUAUAUAUUUUAGAUUCUAAUCCUAUAUGAUUUGCAAAUACUUUUUCCCAUUCUAUAUGUUUUUUUAAUUUGUUAAUUGUUUCUUUUGCUAUGCAGAAGUUUUUAGUUUGAUGUAGUCCCAUUUAUUAACUUUUGCUUCUGUUGCUUCUGCUUUUGGUAUCCCAUUCAAAAAAAAAAAAA